Dermacentor andersoni is the source of this 3123-nucleotide RNA transcript. RefSeq lists it as uncharacterized. Lineage: Eukaryota; Metazoa; Arthropoda; Arachnida; Ixodida; Ixodidae. The record is from RefSeq and is a predicted model, not a curated record.
AGUGGUCGCAUCAUUUUGUGCAUAUACGCUAAGCGUUUAAUUGGUUCUUUAGUGACGUGCCACAAGGGACCAUGCACACUGUCCGACAGCCGCUGAGCCAAUUCGUAUAUUUAAGAAGCUGUGUUGAUGCAGCUUAGUCUUGCAGAGGCCGCAAAAUUUUAUGUCUUGUCAUCGGUCACAAGAAAAGCUAGCAUAAUAAAGUAACGGGGCACGAAAGGUCUUCACGAGUGGUUCAGGCAGCAAUUGAACAACACUUUGAAAUUGAACCUUCAGGCCAUGCGUUCACACGCGCCAGUGCGUUCCGACAGGCUGCGCAGUCCUUUGAAGAAGUGAGAGGCAGCAAUUUUUUGUUGUUGUUGCUUUUGCGUAACAAAUGUUGAAGGACGAAUAUAUAUAAUGACGGAAUAUAUACCAGCUAUACAAAAGCGAUGACGGCGGUUCAUCACACGGGGAAAAACAGCAACCAUCAUAUACAGACGUCAGUGACAGUUCAUCUGGCAGUUAGAUCACCUUCCGGCUAAAGGAUGGUUCUGUGUUUUGUUCUGGACUGAUAGAACUCUAGUAAUUAGAGUGAAUAAUGAAAUCAGAAUCAAAUUUAUUUUCGCCAUAUAUGCGGGUGCGCAUGCAACGACCACUAUUAUGAUAGCAAGAGUACGUGGAGACCAGUGUGCAAGUCGCAAGAAGAAGACAUAUCGCGUAAGUAUUACAUUUGCUUUACCAAAAAGCACAAGAUUUCAAUACUUCAAAAACGGAUAUGUUUGCAACACUAUUGUGUCGUUCAUUAUUGCUUUCUUCUUUUGUAGUUAAACUAUCGAGAAAAUAACUAUUUAACGGGGAACAAAAUUUAAUCAAGUGGAUAUUGCAUUAGACAGUUCUCGUAAUCGUCAUCUGAACUGCAGAAAGAGUCAAGCAAAAUUGUUCGCGAACGGCGCGUUAAUUGUAAACGGCCCUGUCGCAGUACAGAAAAAAUCGUCAAACGAACUAAGCGCAGGCGACUCGUGGACUGUACAGUUCUAGGAAACAUUUCAGUUGAAUGUUUUCACUGGGGAGGGUGAAAGAAGCGAUUAUACGAAGGCGAAUUGUGAAGAGAUGUCAAAAUCUGCAAUUUUUCUAGCUAUUGUCGAUUCGUCUAAGAAUAAUUAAGGCUGCAUGCCAAUCAAUGUAAAUCAUAAAAUAGAGCAUUUCUGCUGUCGACGUGGAUUUGAUUGGGAAGAACUAGAGUUAGAUCAAAUUCUUCCAAUUUUCGCUCAAUUAACUAAUGACGUUCAACAAUCAAGCAGUUAAGAAUUAAUAAAUUCAUGGUAUAUCAUGAGUGUUUUUUCAAGCGCCGUCUCCUGUGAAGCAUAUCUACCAUUUUCGUGCAAAGCUCUCUGGAAAGCGUAUUGACUGUGUAUGCAUGCAUGCAUCUAUCGAACUUCGUGCACAUAUAGACGUGAUGCUUUGACGAUAAAUACUUAUUAAAAUUCAAAUUAUUUAUUUCUGCCUUGUAAAGGUACAGACAGCAGAGGCGCAGAAAAAGCUGUCAGAUACAGAUUGACAAAGCCGCAGCCCCCUUUCGCUUGGCAGAGCCUUCACAGCGACACUUUUAAAACAAAGACAAUUGCACCCGGUAAUAACAGGUAUACAAUACUGAGCAAGUACAAAAGGAAACCAAUCAAGAUUAUACGAUAUUUGUACAAUACUCCCAAACAAGAAAACAGAACCUACAUGCUAACGUACAUAGCACCCAAAGUACUGUUCGACACGUUGAAGAAGUCAAAAUUAUUGUUCACAUAAGGUAUAUACAUAUUCGUAUAGCGCUACCAAUCCCUGCAAAAUAUAGAACGCAGAUUUUCAUUACACACACGCACGCACGCACGUGCACAGCACACACACCAAAAGGAAACGGCAACGCGCUCACAGGAAGCGCCUGAAAAACGAAAAAAAAAAAGGAAAAGUGUGGGGAACCGAGGUCGUCUUGGGCUGUCGCCUCUCCCUCUCCCAGAAGGAAUGAAGAGGUUCUUGGAAAGCAGGGACGGGCGAUUCUCUCUGUCAGCAUCAGCUCCCACCAGCGAGGACGGGGCGAGAAAGCGAAACGGGACUUUCCUUGCUGUCUAUUUUUUCUUCGUCAGGCCAACGCCGCUUGCUUGCAGGGGCGCAGGCGAGUUCCCGCCAAAUGGCGCGGGUGCGUGAGUUGCCGCCAAAUGCUAGCUCUGGAUGCCAGCUCGUUCCGCGUCUCAUGGUAGACUAGUUGGUGCAUUUCUGUUAUCAUGGACUGCGCAUAUAAACGCAAGCUACACAAAAGUGACAUGGACAAGAACAGCGCAAGCCCUUUACAUGCAGUGGAGCCGCCGUAUCUCGCCGUUCAAGAUAUGCGUACUCGAAAAAAAAAAAAAAAGGCUUUACAUGAGAACGGAUCAAGCGUUCGAGAGUUGGGACAGGGAAAUGUGAGACGUACGUAUGUAUAUAUUUCUAAUAUUAUUUUUUCGUCUUGUAUUCUCGUUAAUUUUUCUCUAGGAAACACUGGAACGACACUGCUUAAAUUGAAGCACAGUGUGCGAAUGACCUGCUACGCUCGGAACUGUUAUCACCAUUCGGGAAGAAAUUGGAUGAAAAAACAUAACUGUAAAUACCUGUAUGAUAUACGUCUGGUGCAUUGCAGGUAAGAAUGGAUUGUGUGUGGCGCGCUUCACCUCAUGUGGACUAGAGUAGAUCUAGGAACAUCAGACAAGAAGACACGUAUGUGAAACCCUGCGGAUAGCCCAUAUGUGAACUUUUUUUUCCAGAUACGGAGGAACGGACACCGGUCAUGCCGUGCGCACUCUUCUGCAGGGCAUACUUACAAAUGAAGCUGCACUGCAGUUCAGCUGGAAAGGGUCGCAGGGGAGGAAGCACGCCUUCGUGAAGCUCAUGGCCAUCACGAAUAUAACAUCUGUGAGGAGCACGUUCCCUGACGCUUCACUAGCAUCAGUGGCUGGAGUCGCAAAACGCCGGUUGGUUGGAGCAGCUGACAGGGAUGGAGGCCGGAAUGAAAGAAGGCGCCGUGACCCUGCUUCAAGCCCACCAAAUAUGAACUAGUGUUUGAAACUUGUGAACGUGUCGGUGUACAUAUACAAUUACAAGAAAUAAAGACCUGUAUCAGAA